RNAcentral lists this ribosomal RNA (460 nucleotides) under uncultured bacterium. RNAcentral's name for it is "partial 16S ribosomal RNA". It matches the Rfam family "Bacterial small subunit ribosomal RNA", at positions 338 to 795 of the family's 1533-position model. The record is from RNAcentral.
CCUACGGGGCGCAGCAGUGAGGAAUAUUAGUCAAUGGGCGCGAGCCUGAACCAGACAAGUAGCGUGAAGGAUGACUGCCCUACGGGUUGUAAACUUCUUUUAUAAAGGAAUAAAGUGAGGCACGUGUGCCUUUUUGUAUGUACUUUAUGAAUAAGGAUAGGCGAAAUACGUGCCAGCAGCCGCGGUAAUACGGAGGAUCCGAGCGUUAUCCGGAUUUAUUGGGGUUAAAGGGAGCGUAGAUGGGUUGUUAAGUCAGUUGUGAAAGUUUGCGGCUCAACCGUAAAAUUGCAAUUGAAACUGGCAGCCUUGAGUACAGUUGAGGUAGGCGGAAUUCGUGGUGUAGCGGUGAAAUGCUUAGAUAUCACGAAGAACUCCGAUUGCGAAGGCAGCCUACUAAACUGCCACUGACAUUGAUGCUCGAAAGUGUGGGUAUCAAACAGGAUUAGAUACCCGGGUAGUC